AAAAAUUAAUGUCUCCAAAACUUGAAAAGUUUUGGAAGACAGUAUGUAACACUAUCAAAGAAAACCAAGCAGAGCUACUGGAAUCACCAAGCAAGCUUGAGCAGAGAGGAGUUAUUUGCCCCUAAAACUCCAUCAAAGUUCCCAUUGGGCACUUUGCAUUAAAAGAAAAUACGGAGCUUCAGAAUCCCAGGAUUAUUAGGUUUGGAAAAAUGACCAGGAUCAUGAAGUCCAAGCUCUGCCUGAUGCCAACCUUGUCACCAGCCCAGACCAAUUAUUUAUUGAUUGAUGUUGAAUUGAGACUGUCCUUACAAACUGAACUCAGAGAAGCUUCACUACAUCCCCACUCCUGCAGUUCCCAGAGCCCCUGAUGAGAUGCAAACAUUGGGAAUUAGCAUCCCAGCUGCCUGUGCUUUCUGCAGAAUAAUAUUUCUCUGGAAUCACAAAAUCUGGGAGCUGUGAAGUCAUAUUGCUCCUUCUGCUGGCAAUGCUGCCAGGAAGCUGCAAGGUUUGGGAGUGGAAUUCACCAGGAAUUCACUGCAAGGAACUUACACAUAAUUCUCUAUAUGAAAACACCUAUUCCCUAAGACUUCCACAGCAAUCUGAGCAAGAAGAGCCCAGCCAUUCUGGAAAAAAGGGAGAAAAACAAAUGUUUGGGACAUCUGAACAAAAGUGAGAAGUCUGUAACCAGCUUUCAGAACUGAAGAUCAAUUUUCAUACUCUUAGGAAAUGGGAAAAUGGGACCUGGAGUAUUCUGUACCUGGGAAGAACUGCACACACAUUCCUGGGUCUUGCCAGCCUCCCGCAUCCACUUUGCCUGGCUGCUCACAGCUUACCUCCAAAAGCACACUAAUUUUGGCAUGAUUUACAAAAAGCCUGGAUAAACAAAACCUUGCCAAUGAAUCUUCUACUCCUGGACUUCUUGGGUUGUUCCCAGGACCCACAAAAGUCAACAGAAUUAAAGCUUCCCCCUGAAGUCACUGGAGCUUUAGAUCUUUCUGCUGUGGCUAAUUAAUCUUGUUCAUUAGUUACUCCCUAGCUCCCCUUCCCUUUUCCUCAUCACUUCGUGCUGGUGCAAAUUAUUCUUGUCUUUUAAACAUUAAUUGUUGCUGUGCAGGCCUUUUCUGGAAUGCAUUAAAUUAAAUCCCUCCAGAUAUCCACCUUCCUUCUUUUGCCAGUGCCUUGGAGGCUGGGGAGCUGGGAUGUGGCAGGUGCAAUACAGGCCAAUUAAAAAGCAAAUUUGUGCUAACUGAUGGGUAAUCUGCACUGGGAACCACAAGUGACAUUAGGGGAUGCCUGGGGAAAAUUUUCAUUAAGCAAAUUCCUCCACUGCUGGCACAGCUCUGACACCUCCACAUGUUGUGGCUGUUGCAAGGUGAGUUUCCAACACUUUCACCCUUGGAAUUUUUUCCUGCUCUCACUGAAUCUUGUACAAACCACUGACCAAGGGACAAAGAAUGUCAGAGGUGAAGUGAGUUAAACCAGCCAUUAGUCUGCUUUUUAUUUACCAAAUUUUUGUA
Cyanistes caeruleus (blue tit) is the source of this 1517-nucleotide non-coding RNA. The record is from RefSeq and is a predicted model, not a curated record. Lineage: Eukaryota; Metazoa; Chordata; Aves; Passeriformes; Paridae.